AACGCAAAUGGCGCUCUCGGGAUAGGCCCGAGAGCACGCCUCUUUGAGUAUCGAUUCCACCACAUCCAGUUAACAUGCUGGGAUAUUGAGUGAUCAACACUUGUUUAAAGCUGUUGUCACUUGAAGUGAAAAGAGAUUCGAAGAGCCUCUUGGUUGACUCUGAACUGAGUCUAGACGAAUGAGGGUUUCAUUUAAGUGGACCAACACUGUCUAAAGAGCGAGACGUGGAUAAUAUCCAAUACGUAGCGCACUUUUAAUAGUGAGGGUCGGGCUUGGGUGGUCGAAGCCAGUACUUCGGGCCUUCAAUUGUCGAAAGCCAGUUGGUUUAUCAGUCUCCAAACCAAAACUUAAACUUAGAAUUAGAUCUCAAAUGAAGCGAGAAUACCCGCUGAACUUAA
This 398-nucleotide unclassified non-coding RNA is filed under the name uncultured Rhizaria. RNAcentral's name for it is "sequence contains 5.8S rRNA gene, ITS2, 28S rRNA gene". The record is from RNAcentral.